AUCGUGGCGUACGCAGGACAUUGUGGGAAGAAGCAGUUUUUCUGAAGGAGGAAACGGAAGGCUGACAGCUGACAGAGGAACGAAGAUUAGUCCUCUGGGAGGAAAGGAUUUCCUGGGACAAGGUGCUGGGAUGCCAAGAUAAAUGAGCCCAUACCCUGGAGAAGCAACUUGGGGGAAGCCACAGAAGCAGCUCCGUGUGGUGUGACGGCUGGCAGAGGGCCCAGGGGAGGGACGCCUAGCCCAGUCUCUGGAGCCAGGAGGAGGUGGCCUGAGCCGGAGCUCAAGCGGCACUCUCAGAUCACCAGCUGCCACGGGUGAGGGCACCCAGACCGCCUUCGGGGGGACUCCCUUGUGGAGGCAGCACCACAGCCCAUCAAGGCCACGUGAGUGAGCUUGGAAGCAGAUGCCCCAGCGCCGGUGGAGAUGGCUGCAGCCCCGGGCAGCAGCUUUAAUGCCACCUCACCAGGACCCUGAGCCAGAGGCACCCAGCAAACCUGCACCCAGCAAACCUACACCCAGACUUACCCAUGGAAACAGAGAGGUCAUUUGUUACACAGUCGGUGACUAACACAUGACCCUGCCCCCAAGGCAACUCCUGUCAAUAGUGCUGAGAGAAUGGAGGUCCUUUUCCAAGUAACAACAAAAAUCCCACUAGCGGCUAGGAAUUUCUCUAUUGAAAAAAUUUGUCCCAUGAUUUAUUAUCAUUGCUCCAUCUUUCAAUCUGGCUAAUCUUUCAUCUAAACUUGAUUACUUUCUACUUUGAAUAUUUUUAUUAUGUUGCUCCAACUUAUUUACAUAUGAAGAUGAAUUCUGCAGUUAUGUUGGCUAAAUCAUGUCUAAUUUCCACUAGGGAAUAAAAUACGUGUUUUGUGGUGGUCUAUACAAAGAGCACUGGGGACCCCCAGCUGAAGAAGACACAGUCUCUGCCCUCAAGAAGUACCCAUCGCAUCCACAGGAGGAGGGUGGCCAAGCCCGGAUGUAGCCCCGAGAGUGAGUGCCCCGGAGCGGAAGCCAGGGCUGCUGCAGGAGCGCUUUAGACCGCAAGCCACAUCUCUACUUUACACCUUGCUUCUGCUUCCUCCUCUACAGGAAUGCCCUUUCCCAAUGUCCUGCCUGGCCCCCUCCUGUUCCUCCCUGAGACUCAGCACCACCUCCUCCAGGCAGCCUCCCAGGUCUCCCUGCCCCACACCCAUGAGAUGGGGUGGCAUCCUUCUCUGCCCUCAACUCCCUCCCCCACCAUUCUUCCACCACCACAGUCCCCCCGCUGCCCUGUGGUCUGUUCCUACAUCCUCUCCCUCCCUCACCGGAUUUCCAGUUCCUGGGCACCGGCAAAUCCUGGGGCAAAACCUCCAGGGAGAGGGCAGAGGUGGUGGGACUUGGAGAAGAGAGGGGUGCCCCAGAGGUCAGGCACUUUAGGCAUGGGUGUAAGCGGAAAAGGAGGGCAGGCUCCUUGUCAGAGAGGAGCUUCAAAACCCAGCACACCUGCGCCCUGUUUCCACCGGGAUGCCAGCCCCCGCCCAGGCAGCUGGGAUUUGCCACUCCCCUCCCCAAAGUGCUGCCCUCUGACCACCCACCCAGCCAGGCUCCCCAGACCCUGGGGGCCUCCCCUUU
This is a long non-coding RNA of Manis pentadactyla (Chinese pangolin), 1611 nucleotides long. RefSeq lists it as uncharacterized. NCBI's taxonomy places the organism in Eukaryota, Metazoa, Chordata, Mammalia, Pholidota, Manidae. The transcript has 3 exons. The record is from RefSeq and is a predicted model, not a curated record.